RNAcentral lists this ribosomal RNA (305 nucleotides) under uncultured bacterium. RNAcentral describes it as "bacterial SSU rRNA". It matches the Rfam family "Bacterial small subunit ribosomal RNA", at positions 337 to 638 of the family's 1533-position model. The record is from RNAcentral.
UCCUACGGGGCGCAGCAGUGAGGAAUAUUGGUCAAUGGGCGGGAGCCUGAACCAGCCAAGUCGCGUGAGGGAAGACGGUCCUAUGGAUUGUAAACCUCUUUAGGCGGGGAGCAAUGCCGGGCACGUGUGCCCGGAGGGAGAGUACCCGCAGAAUAAGCAUCGGCUAACUACGUGCCAGCAGCCGCGGUAAUACGUAGGUGGCGAGCGUUAUCCGGAAUGAUUGGGCGUAAAGGGUGCGCAGGCGGUCCUGCAAGUCUGGAGUGAAACGCAUGAGCUCAACUCAUGCAUGGCUUUGGAAACUGGAG